This 73-nucleotide transfer RNA is filed under the name Canis lupus familiaris (dog). It matches the Rfam family "tRNA". From Rfam's summary of the family: Transfer RNA (tRNA) molecules are approximately 80 nucleotides in length. Their secondary structure includes four short double-helical elements and three loops (D, anti-codon, and T loops). Lineage: Eukaryota; Metazoa; Chordata; Mammalia; Carnivora; Canidae. The record is from Rfam by way of RNAcentral. RNAcentral also lists the same sequence under 1 other name.
GCCUGGCUGGCUCAGUGGGUAGAGCUUGGGACUCCCGAUCUCUGGGUUGUGAGUUUGAACCCCAUGUUGAGUG